This is a long non-coding RNA of Portunus trituberculatus (swimming crab), 1475 nucleotides long. RefSeq lists it as uncharacterized. The transcript has 10 exons. The record is from RefSeq and is a predicted model, not a curated record. Lineage: Eukaryota; Metazoa; Arthropoda; Malacostraca; Decapoda; Portunidae.
AUUCCUGUCACACUAUCUCCGCUGGUGUCACAUUUAGAUCCGCUUCAUUAAAAUCACUCUAGAUUAAAUAACACGAGUUUCCAAUGGUGCUUUUACGGUUAUAGUGGCAGAUUAACACUAUUUCUACACUAUUAACGUAAAAAACACCAUUGAAACCGUGUAUAGUUAUCUCUGUGGCCUCGAGAAAUAGUGUGUUAUAUUUUUAAGGACGAGGAGGAGGACGAGGAGGAAGAGGAGGAAGAGGAAGAGGAGGAGGAAGAAGAGGAAGAGGUUUGGGUGUGUUUUGAUAAGAAGGAAAGAGGAAGAUGACGAAAAGUGCAUACGGAAGCAGGGCAAGCAGUAGUAACAGCAGAACCGGAAGCAGUAGAAGCGAGGUCAGAGGAGGAGGAGGAGGAGGAGGAGGAGGAGGAGGAGGAGGAGGACAGAGUGUUUGGGAGGUGGCAGUGACGGAAGGAAGGAAGAGGAGAGCUGGCUUGGCUUCUAAUGGUGAAAAGGCGCCCAGGGAAGCCACGGUGCUUCUUGUAGGUACUAGAGGCUCGGGCAAGACAACAUUACUUCAAAGGUUCCUGGACAGAGAGGAGACAGCCAGACAGACGCUCGCCUUGGAGUACACCUACGGAAGGAAGACUGGCAGGACACUGGUGAAGGAUGUAUGUCACUUAUGGGAGUUAGGCGGCGGGUCUCUCUUCACGCCCCUUCUAGCCACGCCUAUCACGCCCAGAGCUCUCCCACGCCUCUCCCUCGCUCUCACUGUCGACCUCUCCCGCCCCUCCACACUCUGGACUGACCUUCUCUCCCUCAUCGCUGCUCUAAAGGAAGAAGUAGAAAGAGCUGCCUCUGACACGCCAGGAAUGAGAGAGAGUUUGGAGGCCGCAGCAAAGAAGAGAUUAGAGAUAGGAGGAAAUACUGUGGACUCAGAGGUGACGCCCUUCCUCGUGCCCUUGGUCAUUAUAGGCGGCAAGUAUGAUAUUUUCCAAGAUUUUGACCCGGAGGAAAAAAACUCAUUUGUAGAGUCCUGAGGUUCGUGGCACACACACACGGGGCAUCUCUGCAGUUCUUCUCAGCACGUGACCCUGGGCUGGUGAAGAAAGCAAAGGAGGUUCUGAGUCACCUAGCAUUUGGGACGGCAGAAAGCCGGAGUCUAGCUCAGGACUACAACAAACCACUAAUAAUCCCAGCUGGAAGUGACUCGCUGGCCACAAUUAACCUGAACGAACCUCUUAACCUGGACAGCUGGGGACACAAAUUCACCGCCAAGUACCCGCAGGAAAGAGAGGAGGGGGGGUCAGCCAUGCCAGAAGAUCCAGGCCGUGACCCAACAUAUGCCGAGACUGACGUGGAUAACCUAAGAGCACAGAAAGAUGAGGAGCUGGAGAGAAUUAGGAGAGAGGUUGGGAGGAACAAUGCAAGAUGGGCUGACCUCGAGCUGGCCUGAGCAAGAAGAAGAAGAAGAAGAAGAAGAAGAAGAAGAAGAA